RNAcentral lists this ribosomal RNA (1479 nucleotides) under Klebsiella pneumoniae. RNAcentral describes it as "partial 23S ribosomal RNA". It matches the Rfam family "Bacterial large subunit ribosomal RNA", at positions 1 to 1527 of the family's 2925-position model. The record is from RNAcentral. Lineage: Bacteria; Pseudomonadati; Pseudomonadota; Gammaproteobacteria; Enterobacterales; Enterobacteriaceae.
GGUUAAGCGACUAAGCGUACACGGUGGAUGCCCUGGCAGUCAGAGGCGAUGAAGGACGUGCUAAUCUGCGAAAAGCGUCGGUAAGGUGAUAUGAACCGUUAUAACCGGCGAUGUCCGAAUGGGGAAACCCAGUGUGAUUCGUCACACUAUCGUUAACUGAAUACAUAGGUUAACGAGGCGAACCGGGGGAACUGAAACAUCUAAGUACCCCGAGGAAAAGAAAUCAACCGAGAUUCCCCCAGUAGCGGCGAGCGAACGGGGAGCAGCCCAGAGUCUGAAUCAGCUUGUGUGUUAGUGGAACGGUCUGGAAAGUCCGACGGUACAGGGUGAUAGUCCCGUACACCAAAAUGCACAGGCUGUGAACUCGAAGAGUAGGGCGGGACACGUGGUAUCCUGUCUGAAUAUGGGGGGACCAUCCUCCAAGGCUAAAUACUCCUGACUGACCGAUAGUGAACCAGUACCGUGAGGGAAAGGCGAAAAGAACCCCGGCGAGGGGAGUGAAAAAGAACCUGAAACCGUGUACGUACAAGCAGUGGGAGCACCUUCGGGUGUGACUGCGUACCUUUUGUAUAAUGGGUCAGCGACUUAUAUUCUGUAGCAAGGUUAACCGUAUAGGGGAGCCGCAGGGAAACCGAGUCUUAACUGGGCGUUAAGUUGCAGGGUAUAGACCCGAAACCCGGUGAUCUAGCCAUGGGCAGGUUGAAGGUUGGGUAACACUAACUGGAGGACCGAACCGACUAAUGUUGAAAAAUUAGCGGAUGACUUGUGGCUGGGGGUGAAAGGCCAAUCAAACCGGGAGAUAGCUGGUUCUCCCCGAAAGCUAUUUAGGUAGCGCCUCGUGAACUCAUCUUCGGGGGUAGAGCACUGUUUCGGCUAGGGGGUCAUCCCGACUUACCAACCCGAUGCAAACUACGAAUACCGAAGAAUGUUAUCACGGGAGACACACGGCGGGUGCUAACGUCCGUCGUGAAGAGGGAAACAACCCAGACCGCCAGCUAAGGUCCCAAAGUCAUGGUUAAGUGGGAAACGAUGUGGGAAGGCACAGACAGCCAGGAUGUUGGCUUAGAAGCAGCCAUCAUUUAAAGAAAGCGUAAUAGCUCACUGGUCGAGUCGGCCUGCGCGGAAGAUGUAACGGGGCUAAACCAUGCACCGAAGCUGCGGCAGCGACACUAUGUGUUGUUGGGUAGGGGAGCGUUCUGUAAGCCUGCGAAGGUGACCUGUGAGGGUUGCUGGAGGUAUCAGAAGUGCGAAUGCUGACAUAAGUAACGAUAAAGCGGGUGAAAAGCCCGCUCGCCGGAAGACCAAGGGUUCCUGUCCAACGUUAAUCGGGGCAGGGUGAGUCGACCCCUAAGGCGAGGCCGAAAGGCGUAGUCGAUGGGAAACAGGUUAAUAUUCCUGUACUUGGUGUUACUGCGAAGGGGGGACGGAGAAGGCUAUGUUAGCCGGGCGACGGUUGUCCCGGUUUAAGCAUGUAGGCUG